GCCAACAGCAUCCAUUGUCACUGUGAUGUACAAUAAAAAAAACUAGUUCAUCGAAACAGAAAGGCAAACAAUAUGUAAAAUUACUUUUUCCAGACUAUGUAAUAUUAUCCCAACUUUUCUUCCUAAAAUCUCUUCCUCAAACAAAAAUCUUGCACAACGUUUUUAAUACUAGUUUCCUCAUGUCAUGAUUGUAUUUGUCAAUGUGAUAAACAGUGAUAUCAUCCCACACCAAGAGUAUGUAAGAAAAUAGUGAAACAUUAUUGCUUAUUGUUUAUCACACAAAUUGUUUCCCUCGAAUUCAAUUCAUAGCCUCACUUGAAAAGAUUCAAUUUAAUGCAUUUCUGCUACCUAAGCAAUAUAUGCAUUUGACAUAAUCCUAACCCCCACGAACAUGGUAGCAACUAGAAAUCCAUAAUAAAUGUAAUUGUCCAAAAGAUUGGUCCAGUUUUUGUUGCUCAAAUUCAAGAUAAUGGCCCUAGAACCAGACAUUCUGAGCUCAAUCUAGUAUCACCCCUAAACUGGUACCUUAGCAAUUGUCCAAUCAGUGCUGGACAGAGGAUUUCAACUCCUCGCCAGCAAUUAAAAAAUAAAAAUCGGACAGUUAGCAAACUGUCACCAUAAAAACAAGAAACAGAGCAAAAAAAAUAUCAAACGAAACUACUGCUGCCAUCAUUGAAUUUUUUUCAAGCAAAAGAUCA
This 698-nucleotide unclassified non-coding RNA is filed under the name Hevea brasiliensis (rubber tree). The record is from RNAcentral. Lineage: Eukaryota; Viridiplantae; Streptophyta; Magnoliopsida; Malpighiales; Euphorbiaceae.